ACAUGUCAUCAUUCAAGUCAAGAAAAACACCGCUGUCACUUUGGCCCAUGCCCACCAUGUCAUCAGCCUUGCCAAAAAGUUCUGGAGAAAUGUGGGCACUUGUGUCCCAUUUCAUGUCAUGAUCAAGCAUUAGUAAAGCAGACCGGCAGGCAUCAGCUGUCAGGCCCUUGGGAGCAGCCAGCCGAGCCAGCGUUUAUUCAGACUGCGUUGCCUUGUCCUCCGUGUCAAGUUCCCAUUCCUGUGGAAUGUCUGGGGAAGCAUGAGGUAAGCCCACUACCAUGCCAUGCUGUAGGACCCUAUUCAUGCAAGAGACUUUGUGGAAGAAUGUUGAACUGUCAGAAUCAUACGUGUACGAAAGAAUGCCACAAAGUGACUGAAGUUGAUGGCUGUCCUGGCAGACAUAAGGCUGGCCCAGAAUGCCUUCAGUGUGAAGAAGGGUGUUCUAAGUCACGGCCUGCAGGUUGUCCUCACCCUUGUGUUUUGCCAUGUCACCCUGGAAAAUGCCCUCCUUGUGUCCAGAUGCUUAGAAUAAAAUGUCACUGCAAGAUCACAAACCUGUAUGUGGAAUGUAGAAAAAUAACCACAGCUGAUGUGAGUGAGAAGAACCUCCUCAGUUGUUGCAAAAACCAGUGCCCCAAAGAGGUAAGCUG
Molecule: long non-coding RNA, 650 nt
Filed under: Rattus norvegicus (Norway rat)
Lineage: Eukaryota; Metazoa; Chordata; Mammalia; Rodentia; Muridae
Description: long non-coding RNA NONRATT009334
Source: RNAcentral